AUGGAUCUUUUUAUCCUGUCCUUAUGAUAUUCAGAUUUUUCAAAAAUAUUCAUUAGUACUGCAGCCAAGACCAGGGCAGACAACAUUGGAUUGAAGAAAUGGCUACUGGCACUAAUUAUUUAAAAACCAAUGGAUAACUUAGAUAAAAGCAGCCCCUCUGAUGAGCAUAUGGACUCAGAAGUUCUGCUGACCUGUGGCUGGCCUAUCCGGCACCAUUGAUUUAAUGCAGAGGUGAUUUUCUGGAGAGCUGGAAAGUACCUCACCUCUAAAGCAUGUUACAGGACCUCUCAAUGUAGACUAUACUAGAAGCUAGCUUCCCAAUCACAAAGAUCUUUCUGCCUGUGUCUCCCAAGUACAUGAAUUAAAGGCACGUGCAACCAUGUCCAGCACGAACAGUUUUACUAUUAUUUAUUAUAAUUUAUUAUUAUUUACUAUGUCCAGUUUUGCUAUUAAUUACUGACUGCCAUUGUUAACUGGUACUAUCCUUGAUCUGUUUAAUACUA
RNAcentral lists this long non-coding RNA (503 nucleotides) under Mus pahari (shrew mouse). Its description in RNAcentral is "lncRNA (MGP_PahariEiJ_G0004287.1)". Lineage: Eukaryota; Metazoa; Chordata; Mammalia; Rodentia; Muridae. The record is from RNAcentral.